UGGGGAAUAUUGCACAAUGGGCGCAAGCCUGAUGCAGCCAUGCCGCGUGUAUGAAGAAGGCCUUCGGGUUGUAAAGCACUUUCAGCGGGGAGGAAGGCGUUAAGGUUAAUAACCUUGGCGAUUGACGUUACCCGCAGAAGAAGCACCGGCUAACUCCGUGCCAGCAGCCGCGGUAAUACGGAGGGUGCAAGCGUUAAUCGGAAUUACUGGGCGUAAAGCGCACGCAGGCGGUCUGUCAAGUCGGAUGUGAAAUCCCCGGGCUCAACCUGGGAACUGCAUUCGAAACUGGCAGGCUAGAGUCGUGUAGAGGGGGGUAGAAGUCCAGGUGUAGCGGUGAAAUGCGUAGAGAUCUGGAGGAAUACCGGUGGCGAAGGCGGCCCCCUGGACAAAGACUGACGCUCAGGUGCGAAAGCGUGGGGAGCAAACAGG
RNAcentral lists this ribosomal RNA (429 nucleotides) under Chloroflexota bacterium. RNAcentral's name for it is "Chloroflexi bacterium partial 16S ribosomal RNA". It matches the Rfam family "Bacterial small subunit ribosomal RNA", at positions 355 to 776 of the family's 1533-position model. Lineage: Bacteria; Bacillati; Chloroflexota. The record is from RNAcentral.